AAGACAUCAAGCUCAGAGUUUUUUCUCCAGAGAAGAGGUGUUGGCUCAGAAAACUGAAGCGAUUUUAACCUCAUUACCUCAAGUAAUGAUCCACAUCAGUCAUAAAAAUGAGGAGGCUGAAGCAAACCUGAGGUCAAAGAAGUGAUAAUUCUUCCAGCAGUAUCUGUAGCAAUGGCAUCCCACUCUUGAGUCUGUUUCUUAGUUGUGUGGCUGGUUGAGCUGGCUAGGAAGCUAAGCAUUUCAAACACAGAACCACUGUUGUGACUGGAGGCUACGGAUGGAAUUAGGCUGUCACACAUUACUUGCUAAACAUGGCAUUGCGUUUUCGUGAAACACGUGCUUUCUCCUACUGAUUUGUGGUUGUCUGGCAAGGAAUCAGCACUCAGCAGACAGGCACAGCUCCAGUGGGAGAAGAAGCAGGACAAUUCCUUCAAAACAGACUCCAUUUUCCUUACCUCACAGCUGGAAAUAGACUGGCGGUAUCCUUCAGAAGAAUCCAUUUCAAUGAUUCAAUGGACUAUAAAAAAGAUGGGUACAAAUUCCAAGUUAUCUAUCUUACACCUAAGAAGACAAAGGUACCAGGCCUUUGAUUUUAGGAGAUAGAUCCUGACCAGGAGUUUGGUCAGUCAUCUUGAUGAAAUGAGUACCUUGAACCAAGUCUAGCUUGUUAAGUUGUAGACACUAGAAAGCCUUUUAUUUUUGUUUCUCUUUUAACCAUUUCUGACUUUAAUCCUUAUAUUUGUAUCAAU
This is a long non-coding RNA of Mauremys mutica (yellowpond turtle), 749 nucleotides long. RefSeq lists it as uncharacterized. The record is from RefSeq and is a predicted model, not a curated record. The transcript has 4 exons. NCBI's taxonomy places the organism in Eukaryota, Metazoa, Chordata, Testudines, Geoemydidae.